CCGUUUCUAGAUUAGUCUGGGGACCCAGC
RNAcentral lists this small RNA (29 nucleotides) under Bombyx mori (domestic silkworm). Its description in RNAcentral is "ovarian small RNA-13937". Lineage: Eukaryota; Metazoa; Arthropoda; Insecta; Lepidoptera; Bombycidae. The record is from RNAcentral.